RNAcentral lists this long non-coding RNA (607 nucleotides) under Elaeis guineensis (African oil palm). RNAcentral's name for it is "long non-coding RNA (EGUI_LNC000558)". Lineage: Eukaryota; Viridiplantae; Streptophyta; Magnoliopsida; Arecales; Arecaceae. The record is from RNAcentral.
GGAAGAGACAAUACGGGAUAAUCAGGAAUAUUUUAAAAUUUAAUUGUUAGAUAAUCUGCCUUGGCUGUGUUUUAAAAGUCAGUAGUGCCUGGGUAACCAACUUUUUGUGAAAAAAUAUAUUUUUACGAAGACAGAAUUAUGGGUCUUAGUUGGGAACCCCAGCUCAGAUGCCCAAUUGGAGCACCAGCGGCAAGCCGUCUCAAGGCGUCCGUUUGGGUGGGGGGAAGGGCAUCGGGAAGAGUGGCUUAUGGUGAAUGAGUCGGAGUACUUGGUGUCGCAGUGUCAAGUCCUUGGGGUUUGGGCCAUAUUGGAGAAUGGCACGCUGAUAGAGACGAACGUAGCUUAGGAGACGAGAGGGAGAUGAUGGGAGAUUGAGGAAAUAUAUUGCUGAUGGGUGUGUUAAACGGGAUAUUUUAGAAAUUCCUGAUUUGUGUACGUUAUUGUUUCGUAAAUUUGUAUAUGCAAAAUAUUUUAAAAGAAAAGUUUUCAAAUUAUUUUUUGGGAAAGUUUUGAAGAAUGUCCAUGGUAUUCUUACUAUCAAUUUUUUUUUGAUAAAAUUGAUGAAAAAUUUUAGUAAAGAUUAGAGAAGGAAUACUGGUUCCUAGUC